UCUCUCUCUCAUCUUAUCUCUCUCUCUCUCUCUUUCUCUCUAACAUGUCGCCUGGGGCCAGAUCUCUCUCUCUCAUCUUAUCUCUCUCUCAUCUCUCUCUCUCUCUCUCUCUCUCAACAUGUCGCCUGGGGCCAGAUCUCUUUCUGUCUCAUCUGCUACUUCAUUCCACUGGAGCGGCCUUCUGUAAUGAAGCUCCUUGAUGUACAUUUGCCAAUUUCUGUCUGUGCCACUGCAGUAUAAUUGGGAAGUGACUAAGCAUGAACUCCCGGUGCAGGGUUGGUUGACCUCCACGCGACCCCACAGAUAGAGCUUUUGUCAUAAUAUAAGUAUUAUCUCUCCUAAUCUGGGAAUGGAGAGGGGUUGUCUGCAGGGUUCCAGGGAUGGACAUGGAGGUUACGUCCCAAAUAGUUCCCUAUUCCGAGUGCACUUCUUUUGACCAGAUCCCAUAUAGGGAAUAGGGUGCCAUUUGAGACACACCCUCUGAGAUUAAUUGAUCUAACUCCAUAAAGUGCUCCUAGGCAGGGCUGAAAUAAUAUAGAUUUUAUUAAAACACGCUUGUAAUGAUGAUGAUUUAUAAAUAAUUAUCUUUGUUUUGUGUUUCUUGAUGUACUAAAGUAGCUGGCGGGUGACACUGAGUUGGUGUGUGUGUGUGUGUGUGUGUGUGUGUGUGUGUAGUGCAUUAGUGCGUGUAGUGUGUUUGUGUAGUGUGUGCAGUAGUGUGUGUGUGUAGUGUGUGUAGUAGUAUGUGUGGUGUGUGUAUGUGUAGUGUGUUUGUGUGCAUCACCGUGUGUGUAGUGUGAUUGUGUGCGACACUGUGUAUGUAGUGUGUGUAGUAGUGUGUGUAGUGUGAUUGUGUGCGUCACCGUGUGUUUGUGUGUGUAGUGUGUGUAGUAGUGUGAUUUGUGAUUGUGUGCGACACUGUGUGUGUAGUGUGUGUUAAUGACCUUGUAAAAUAACAAGCUGAGCUUCCGGUGACUGAAAGCAGAAAGCCUGUGGUCACAGAGAGGCGG
RNAcentral lists this long non-coding RNA (1010 nucleotides) under Salmo salar (Atlantic salmon). Its description in RNAcentral is "lncRNA (ENSSSAG00000111287.1)". Lineage: Eukaryota; Metazoa; Chordata; Actinopteri; Salmoniformes; Salmonidae. The record is from RNAcentral.